Molecule: ribosomal RNA, 288 nt
Filed under: Triticum aestivum (bread wheat)
Lineage: Eukaryota; Viridiplantae; Streptophyta; Magnoliopsida; Poales; Poaceae
Description: partial small subunit ribosomal RNA
Source: RNAcentral
AUGUUACCAGAUGGUAGCAGUUCAAAGGCAACACCGCUGGAGAGCAGUCUGAGCACAGAUAUUAUAGUUCUUGAGGUUCUACUAGAGGCAGAAAGAGAUGGUGUGGCUGCCAUGAAUGAGGUAAUCUCGAUCUUGAAGCUGGAAAUCAUGCAAUUAGCUGCAUGGAUUAUGCAAGCAACCCAAGAAUUGGAGGAAGUAAGAAUGUUGCAUUUGAAGACGGAGGAGGUCCUGUUGCUUCUGCUAUCUGAAGCCCAGGGUAAUCCCAGUUCUUCUUUAGAUACCAGUUGA